This 369-nucleotide ribosomal RNA is filed under the name Triticum aestivum (bread wheat). RNAcentral's name for it is "partial small subunit ribosomal RNA". Lineage: Eukaryota; Viridiplantae; Streptophyta; Magnoliopsida; Poales; Poaceae. The record is from RNAcentral.
AAAAGGGGAAUUGUUUUGAAACCUGACUUCGAGAAAGCUUACGAUAAGGUUAACUGGGACUUUUUGCUUGAAUGCCACAAAAUGAGGGGUUUCAAUCCUAAAUGGUGUGAGUGGGUGGAGAGCAUCCUCCACAACGGUACAGUUAGUGUCAAAAUUAACAAUACCACGGGACCUUACUUUCAGAGCCACAAAGGAGUGCGACAAGGGGACCCAAUGUCUCCCUUUCUCUUCAACCUUGCGGCUGAAAGCUUAACCAAGAUGAUUUUGAACGCCCAGAAUAACAAUUUAUUUAGGGGGCUGGCAUCUGAUUUGGUUCCCAAUGGGGUGGCAGUGCUGCAAUACGCAGACGAUACGGUUAUCUGUAUUGAA